RNAcentral lists this ribosomal RNA (327 nucleotides) under uncultured eukaryote. Its description in RNAcentral is "partial 18S ribosomal RNA". It matches the Rfam family "Eukaryotic small subunit ribosomal RNA", at positions 1470 to 1796 of the family's 1831-position model. The record is from RNAcentral.
CCCUUAGAUGUUCUGGGCCGCACGCGCGCUACACUGAUGCAUUCAACGAGUUUCUUCCUGGUCCGAGAGGAAUGGGUAACCUUUUGAAAGUGCAUCGUGAUAGGGAUAGACUAUUGCAAUUAUUGGUCUUCAACGAGGAAUUCCUAGUAGACGUAGUUCAUCAGACUGCAUCGAUUACGUCCCUGCCCUUUGUACACACCGCCCGUCGCUCCUACCGAUUGAGUGGUCCGGUGAGGCUUUGGGAUCUGAGCGGAAAGAGCGUUUCGCUGUUUCUGCUCGGAAAACUCAGUCGAACCUUAUCAUUUAGAGGAAGGAGAAGUCGUAACA